Molecule: ribosomal RNA, 206 nt
Filed under: uncultured bacterium
Lineage: Bacteria
Description: partial 16S ribosomal RNA
Rfam family: Bacterial small subunit ribosomal RNA
Source: RNAcentral
UCUCAUUCGGAUUGGAGUCUGNAACCCGACUCCAUGAAGCUGGAUUCGCUAGUAAUCGCGCAUCAGCCACGGCGCGGUGAAUACGUUCCCGGGCCUUGUACACACCGCCCGUCAAGCCAUGGAAGCCGGGAGUGCCUGAAGUGCGUGAGCGCAAGCAGCGCCCUAAGGUAAAACCGGUGACUGGGGCUAAGUCGUAACAAGGUAGC